RNAcentral lists this ribosomal RNA (446 nucleotides) under uncultured bacterium. Its description in RNAcentral is "bacterial SSU rRNA". It matches the Rfam family "Bacterial small subunit ribosomal RNA", at positions 330 to 792 of the family's 1533-position model. The record is from RNAcentral.
GCCAGACUCCUACGGGAGGCAGCAGUGGGGAAUAUUGCACAAUGGGGGGAACCCUGAUGCAGCGACGCCGCGUGAGGGAAGAAGUAUCUCGGUAUGUAAACUUCUAUCAGCAGGGAAGAAAGAGGACGGUACCUGACUAAGAAGCCCCGGCUAACUACGUGCCAGCAGCCGCGGUAAUACGUAGGGGGCAAGCGUUAUCCGGAUUUACUGGGUGUAAAGGGAGCGUAGACGGCAAUACAAGUCGGAAGUGAAAUACCCGGGCUCAACCUGGGAACUGCUUUGGAAACUGUAUGGCUGGAGUGCUGGAGAGGUAAGCGGAAUUCCUAGUGUAGCGGUGAAAUGCGUAGAUAUUAGGAGGAACACCAGUGGCGAAGGCGGCUUACUGGACAGUAACUGACGUUGAGGCUCGAAAGCGUGGGGAGCAAACAGGAUUAGAUACCCCCGUA